Molecule: long non-coding RNA, 2785 nt
Filed under: Olea europaea subsp. europaea
Lineage: Eukaryota; Viridiplantae; Streptophyta; Magnoliopsida; Lamiales; Oleaceae
Source: RNAcentral
GUAAACAUAUCCAUAUCAUGAGAAAUCAUCAAUGAAAAUUAUGAAAUAUUUAUUCCCACCUAUAGUGGAAGGCAAAGGUCCACUGAUAUCAGUGUGAAUUAAGUCCAAAAUUUCAUUACUCCUAGUCGAACCCUUCAUCGUAGACUUAGUUAACUUCCCUCUUAUACAAUCUACACAGGUGUCAAAAUCGAAAAAGUCUAAGGAGGGAAGUAUCUCAUCUUUUACUAAUCUUUCCAUUCCAUCCUUAGAUAUAUCACUAAAACAUUUAUGCUACAACAUAGAGGAUGAUUCACUAAUUAAAGUUCUUUUCUUUGAUACAUUGGUAACACAUGAGACAUCAUCAAAAGGAGCCAAAGAUAAUUUAUAUAAACCAUCACAUAAAAUGUCAUUUCCAAUCAUACGAAAAUCAUUAAAUAACUUAACCAUUCCAUUACCAAAAUUAAAUGUAAAACCACAAGCAUCAAGUUUCGGUAUAGAAAUUAAAUUCCGUCUUAUCUGCGAUACAUAAACUGUAUUUUCCAAAACAAGAUAAAAAACCAGACUCUAAAACCAACUUCACUACUCUAUGAAUUCAACCUUCACUUGAAAUCCAUUUGCAACGCUCAAGCUUACUUCAUUCUCACUUGGCCUCCGUUUGCUUCUGAACCCUGUGAACCCCUGGAGAACUCUUCUUCUUUUUCAACCAGGUCUUGAAUUUAAAACAGUCUUUCUGUUAGUUACCUUUCCUUUUACAGAACUUGUAUUGAUCAUUUUUCUUUACAACUCCUUUGGGACCACUAAAAUUUUUAUUCUGCUGACUUCGGUGGGACUUAUUACCCUUACGAAACUUAUGUUUAUGAUUAUGAGAAGGCCCCUUAUUCUGUGAUGGAUGAAAAGCUAAUUGCACAGUUUCACAGCGCAUCCUAUACUCUUCUUGGGCACACACUGCUAUGAGGUCAUUCAAAUUUCAUUUAUCCCGCUGAGCAUUGUAAGCAACCUUAAGUUGAUUAAACUUGCUAGGAAGGCUAUUUAAAACAUGAUAGACCAGGAAAGGCUUCGCAAUGAGAAUGUCAAGAGCCUUUAGCUUAGAUGAUAUAUUUAUCAUUUUCAUGACAUGCUCUCUAACACCACUUGUAUCAUCAUAUUUCAUGCUCAUUAGUUUAUCCAUCAGAUCCCCAGUUUUAGCUUUAUCAGACUCAAUAAAUUUUUUUCAUAUGGCAUUCAUAAAACUUUUGGUAUUUUCAUUAUCAAGGAUGUCAUCUAGAAUGGAAUCAGAUAUCGAUCGCUUAAUGAUUUUCAAACAGAGUUUGUUAGCCCUUUCCCACUUUUCAUGCUCGGCUACAUAUUCAACGAUACUCUUAUCUGUGGGUUUCUCAAGCUUUUUUUCCAUUGCAAAAUUCAAGCCCAAAAAAUCAAGUGUUAUUUCUACGUCUCGUUUCCAUCUCACAUAGUUAUUCCCAGUCAAAGUUUCAAUAGCAGACAAUUGAUUCGAGAGAGAUGAGGUAUUAUAAACUGUGGAAACAUAAAAUAUCAUACUCAUCCAAACAUAUGCAUGCAAUUAAAUGGAUGAUGUAAUAUCCAACUAAUUAAUAUGGGUUAUUAAUUAGAUAAUUCGUAAUUUAAAUCGAAACAUAUGAAUUUUAUUACAGUAAGAGCCUAGGUGCAUCAUUAUAAAAUUACCUUUAGGUCGACAAUACAACAUGCUAUAAGGUACUCUUAAAACAUAUCAUGUGGCCAGUUAACAAAAUUACACUGGUUUUCGAAACACCAACACUUUUAGACAGAAGGAAAUUUCUAGACCAAAAUAAGCUCGUUAAUUGUCUUAUACUAUUUUCUAAAAAUAUUACAUAUAAUAACCCUUUGGGCAAGAUAUAAUAUGCAAUAAAUCAAAAUUGUUGCGCAAAAUACUUAUAUUUUUAUUGUAGAGAAAAUCAAAUAAAUAAUAAUGAGUGUGCCACUUUGGCAUCUACCACCCAUUUUUAUUUCAAAAUAUUUUUCUUUGUAGGGGACAAAUAAGGAUCGUCUCAAAACUCAUAAAAAUUCAAUCACAAGACAAUAAUUACGCAAAAAAUAAUCGAUAAAAGACAGAUUCAUAUGUGAUUGAGAGACGAAAUUAACAACAAAAUUUCAAAAAAUGAAAUUUAAAUGCAUAAAUAAUGGCAAUAUUUAAAUACGUAUACAAUUUAAUGAAAAAUAUAAAGUCGUCCAUCAAAUUAUUAUUAUUAUUUAAUAUAUUUUAAUCGGGUCAAUUAUCAAUUAAAGUUUUAAUUUGGUCAAAAAUAAAAUUUUAGGGUCAAAAGUUUAGAAGUUCAAAUUUAAGAGCCCUUUAUUGAAAAUUACAUUUUAAUACUAAACACAAAUUAAAAUCAGGUCCAUCAUAUUUAAAAUUGCAUGGCAGGUCCUUAUUUAAGUAAUUACAAUAUGACCCCAACUGAUAAUUGCAAAUAGGGGUUUGAAGAUUGGUUAUUUACGGCAGAAGCCCCCGCCUACCUUUGGCCGAUUUUUCCCACAAAAAUUGAAUUUUUUUUCUUGCACUGGCGGCACCUGCCGGCGCUUUAACCCAUGCGGCAGCAACAUGCUACCGCCGAUCAACUUAUGUAAAAAAUAAUUUAUUUAUUUAUUAUUAUUAUUAUUUUAUUUUUUUGAUAAUCACCAUAGACAAAAACUCACACACAAAUUCAAUUGAAGAUUCAAAUUAGAAAGGUUAUACUAUAAAUCAAUUAAGCAGAGUCACACAUUAUAUAUAUUUCUUGCAUUUGAGAUGAUUUCCUCAAGAAAAUCAAUGCUACAUAUUUAUCAAGCUUAU